This 243-nucleotide non-coding RNA is filed under the name Chaetoceros debilis. Lineage: Eukaryota; Bacillariophyta; Thalassiosirophyceae; Chaetocerotales; Chaetocerotaceae. The record is from RNAcentral.
CAAGGUGGCUGCAACAAAGAAAAGAGGUGAUGCGACGAAAACUAUCGAGGAUAAUGCUGACAUUGAAAAUCUCGAGGAAGGAAAUAGGGUCCUGCGGCAAGGUGACUUAGGCUCGACUCAAAAGUUGCCAGAUAAUCAAUGCAUACACAAUGACAACAAUGCUAAAAGUCAUGUUCAGGUUGAUGAUACUUCUUGUGACAUAAUUUUCUUGAAAAACGAGAUUGUUCAAAUGAAGAUUAAAGC